Molecule: ribosomal RNA, 478 nt
Filed under: uncultured bacterium
Lineage: Bacteria
Description: partial 16S ribosomal RNA
Rfam family: Bacterial small subunit ribosomal RNA
Source: RNAcentral
GACGAACGCUGGCGGCGUGCUUAACACAUGCAAGUCGAACGGUAAGGCCCUUCGGGGUACACGAGUGGCGAACGGGUGAGUAACACGUGGGUGAUCUGCCCUGCACUUCGGGAUAAGCCUGGGAAACUGGGUCUAAUACCGGAUAGGACCACUGCCUGCAUGGGUGGUGGUGGAAAGCUUUUGCGGUGUGGGAUGGGCCCGCGGCCUAUCAGCUUGUUGGUGGGGUGAUGGCCUACCUAGGCGACGACGGGUAGCCGGCCUGAGAGGGUGACCGGCCACACUGGGACUGAGAUACGGCCCAGACGCCUACGGGAGGCAGCAGUGGGGAAUAUUGCACAAUGGGCGCAAGCCUGAUGCAGCGACGCCGCGUGAGGGAUGACGGCCUUCGGGUUGUAAACCUCCUUCAGCACCGACGAAGCGCAAGUGACGGUAGGUGCAGAAGAAGGACCGGCCAACUACGUGCCAGCCGCCGCGGUAA